Molecule: ribosomal RNA, 468 nt
Filed under: uncultured bacterium
Lineage: Bacteria
Description: partial 16S ribosomal RNA
Rfam family: Bacterial small subunit ribosomal RNA
Source: RNAcentral
GACGAACGCUGGCGGCGUGCUUAACACAUGCAAGUCGAACGGAAAGGCCCUGCUUUUGUGGGGUGCUCGAGUUGCGAACGGGUGAGUAACACGUGAGUAACCUGCCCUUGACUUUGGGAUAACUUCAGGAAACUUGGGCUAAUCCCGGAUAGGAGCUCCUGCUUCUUGGUGGGGGUUGGAAAGUUUCGGCGGUUGGGGAUGUAAUCGCGGCCUAUCAGCUUGUUGGUGGGGUAGUGGCUUACCAAGGCUUGGACGGGUAGCCGGGCUGAGAGGGUAACCGGCCAAAUUGGGACGGGGAUACGACACAGACUAGUAUGGGAGGCAGCGGUGGGGAAUAGUGCACAAGGGGCGGAAGCCUGAUGCAGCAAAGCAGCGUGGGGGAUGACGGGCUGCGGGUAGGAAACCGAUGUCGCCUGUGACGAAGCGUGAGUGACAGUAAUGGGUAAAGAAGCUCCGGCUAACUACGUG